Molecule: long non-coding RNA, 345 nt
Filed under: Homo sapiens (human)
Lineage: Eukaryota; Metazoa; Chordata; Mammalia; Primates; Hominidae
Description: HSALNT0264668
Source: RNAcentral
GUUGUACUAGGGAAGAAGAACGCAAAGAUAGAGACAGACUCCUACAUUCAACUGUAAAAUGAAAUCAUUUAUAAUAAAGUACAAGGAGAAACACAGGAGGAAAAGGCCCUAAAUCUGCUUAGGGGGUCAGGAAUGCUUUUGCAAAAGAGGCAGCACCUAAACGAAAAUGAGUUUGCCCGGAGAAUGAAAGGUGGGUUGAGGUUUAGGGGAGCUAACAUUGCAUCCACAUGGAGGUAGAAUAGGAUAUGCACAUCCUUCACUCUCCUGAUUAAGGAAUGGUACCAUAAUCCAGUAUUCCUUGAGUAUAUAGAACGGGGAGAUGAUGGGAAAUGAAUAGGAUCAGAG